RNAcentral lists this long non-coding RNA (5620 nucleotides) under Cervus hanglu yarkandensis (Yarkand deer). RNAcentral describes it as "lncRNA (ENSCHYG00000013911.1)". The record is from RNAcentral. Lineage: Eukaryota; Metazoa; Chordata; Mammalia; Artiodactyla; Cervidae.
UGAUUUAUGUAGUUCAUUGGAACAGGAAGAAAUGGAUUUAUCUGUGGAUCAUGUUGAGGAAGUACAAAAUGUCCUUAAUGCUAUGCAGAAAAUCUUAGAGUGUCCAAUAUGUCUGGAGUUGAUCAGAGAGCCUGUCUCUACAAAGUGUGACCACAUAUUUUGCAAAUUUUGUAUGCUGAAACUUCUCAACCAGAAGAAAGGGCCUUCACAAUGUCCUUUGUGUAAGAAUGAUAUAACCAAAAGAAGCCUACAAGAAAGUACAAGAUUUAGUCAACUUGUUGAAGAGCUGUUGAAGAUCAUUCAUGCUUUUGAGCUUGACACAGGAUUGCAGUUUGCAAACAGCUAUAACUUUUCGAGAAAGGAAAAUAAGUCUCCUGAGCAUCUGAAGGAGGAAGUUUCUAUCAUCCAAAGUAUGGGCUACCGGAACCGGGCCAAAAGACUUUGGCAGAGUGAACCUGAAAAUCCUACCUUGCAGGAAACUGGUCUUACUGUCGAACUCUCUAACCUUGGAAUUGUGAGAUCUCUGAGGACAAAGCAGCAGAUACAAUCUCAGAAUAAGUCCGUCUACAUUGAAUUGGGAUCUGAUUCUUCUGAAGACACAGUUAAUAAGGCCAGUUACUUCAGUGUGGGAGAACAUGAAUUGUUAGAGAUCACCCCUCAAGGAGCCAAGGCAGAGACCAAUUUGAAUCCUGCAAAAAAGGCUGCUUGUGAGUUUUCUGAGAAGGACAUAACAAAUACUGAACAUCAUCAGUUCAGUAUUAAAGAUCUGAUCACCACCCAUAAGCAUGCAACUGAGACGCAUCCAGAAAACUAUCAGGGUAUUUCUGUUUCAAACUUUCACGUGGAGCCAUGUGGCACAGAUACUCAUGCCAGCUCAUUACAGCAUGAGAACAGCAGUUUAUUGCUCACUGAAAACAGACUGAAUGUAGAAAAGGCUGAAUUCUGUAAUGAAAGCAAACAGCCUGUCUUAGGAAAGAGCCAACAGAGCAGAUGGGCUGAAAGUAAGGGCACAUGUAAGGAUAGGCAGAUUCCCAGCACUGGGAAAAAGAUAGUUCUGAAUGCUGAUCCCCUGUACAGAAGAAAAGAACUGCAUAAGCAGAAACCUGCAUGCCCUAACAGUCCUGGAGAUUCCCAAGAUGUUCCUUGGGUAACCCUGAAUAAUAGCAUACAGAAAGUUAAUGAAUGGUUUUCCAGAAGUGAUGAAAUAUUAACUUCUGAUGACUCAUGCAAUGGUGGGUCUGAAUCAAAUAAUGAAGUAGCUGGUGCAGUGGAAAUUCCAAAUAAAGUUGAUGGAUAUUCAGGUUCUUCAGAGAAAAUCGACUUAAUGGCCAGUGAUCCUCAUGGUGCUUUAAUACAUGAAAGAGUCCACUCCAAACCAGUAGAGAGUAAUAUUGAAGAUAAAAUAUUUGGGAAAACCUAUCGGAGGAAGUCAAGUUUCCCUAACUUCAGCCACGUAGCUGAAGAUCUAAUUAUAGGCGCAUUUACUGUAGAACCUCAGAUAACACAAGAGCAGCCCCUCACAAAUAAACUAAAGUGUAAAAGGAGAGGUACAUCAGGCCUUCAGCCUGAGGAUUUUAUCAAGAAAGUCGAUUUGACAAUUGUUCCAAAGACUCCUGAAAAGAUGAUUGAGGGAACUGAUCAAACAGAGCAGAAAGGUCAUGGGAUGAAUAUUACUAGUGAUGGUCAUGAGAAUAAAACAAAACGUGAUUAUGUUCAGAAAGAGCAAAACGCUAACCCAACAGAAUCAUUGGGAAAAGAAUCUGUUUUCAGAACUAAGGCUGAACCUAUAAGCGUCAGUGUAAGCAAUAUGGAACUAGAAUUGAAUAUCCACGGUUCAAAAGCACCUAAGAAUAGGCUGAAGAGGAAGUCCUCUACCAGGAAAAUUCCUGAACUUGAACUAGUAGUCAGUAGAAACCCAAGUCCACCUAAUCAUACUGAGCUACCAAUUGAUAGCUGUUCUAGCAGUGAAGAGAUGAAGAAAAAACAUUCUAGCCAAAUGCCAGUCAGGCAGGGCCAAAAGCUUCAACUCAUGGGAGAUAAAGAACCUAUAGCUGGAGCCAAGAAGAGUAACAAAGCAUAUGAACAAAUAAAUAAAAGACUUGGUAGUGAUGCCUUUCCAGAAAUAAAUUCAGCAAACACACCUGGUUAUUUUACUAACUGUUCUAGUUCUAAUAAACUUGAAGAGUUUGUUCAUCCUAGCGUUCAAAGAGAGGAGAAUCUAGGAACAAUUCAAGUGUCAAAUAGUACCAAAGACCCCAAAGAUCUGAUAUUAAGAGGAGGAAAAGCUUUGCAAAUUGAAAGAUCUGUAGAGAGUACCAAUAUUUCCUUGGUUCCUGAUACUGAUUAUAGCACUCAGGAUAGUAUCUCAUUACUGGAAGCUAACACCCCAGAGAAGGCAAAGACUGCACCAAAUCCUUGUGUGAGUCUGUGUGCAGCAAUCGAAAACCCCAAGGAACUUAUCCAUGGGGAUUUUAAAGGUACCAAAAACGACACAGAGGGCUUUCAGGAUCUACUGGGACAUGACGUUAACUGCGUCAUUCAGGAGACAAGCGGAGAAAUGGAAGACAGUGAACUUGAUACACAGUAUUUGCAGAAUACGUUCAAGGUUUCAAAGCGUCAGACAUUUGCUCUGUUUUCAAAUCCAGGAAAUCCACAAAAGGAAUGUACCACAGUCUUUGCCCACUCGGGGUCCUUAAGGGAUCAAAGUCCAAGAGACCCCCUCAAAUGCAGGCAAAAAGAAGACAGUCGGGGAAAGAAUGAGUCUAAAAGCCAGCAUGUGCAGGCCAUUUGUACAACAGUGCACUUUCCUGUGGCUGGUCAGAAAGAUAGGACGCUGGGUGACGAUGCCAAAUGUAGUGGAAAAGAAGUAACUAGGCUUUGUCAGUCAUCACAGUUGAGAGGCCACAAAACUGAACUUGUUUUUGCAAAUAAACAUGGGAUUUCAGAAAAAACAUUUCUUAUACCAUCACUUUCUCCCAUCAAGUCAUCUGUUAAAACCGUAUGUAAGAAAAGCCCAUCAGAGAAGUUUGAGGAACCUGUAAUGUCACCUGAAAGAACGCGGGGAAGUGAGAGCAUCAUUCAAAGUGCAGUGAGCACAGUCAGUCAAAAUAACAUUCAAGAAAGCACUUUUAAAGAAGUCAGCUCAAGCAGUGUUAAUGAAGUAGGUUCCAGUACUAAUGAAGUAGGCUCUAGUAUUAAUGAAGUAGGUUCCAGUGGUGAAAACAUUCAAGCAGAACCAGGUAGAAACAGAGAACCUAAAUUAAGAGCUUUACUCAAAUUAGGUCUUAUGCAACCUGAAGUCUAUAAGCAAAGUCUUCCUGUAAGUAACUGUCACCAUCCUGAAAUAAAAAGGCAAGGAGAAAAUGAGGACAUGCUUCAGGCUGUUAAGGCAGAUUUCUCCCCAUGUCUAAUUUCAGAUAAUCUCGAACAACCUAUGGGAAGCUGUCAUGCUUCUCAGGUUUGUUCUGAGACACCUGACAACUUGUUGAAUGAUGAUGAAAUAAAAGAAAAUAGCCACUUUGCUGAAAGUGACAUUAAGGAAAGAUCUGCUGUUUUUAGUGAAAGUAUCCAAAAAGGAGAAUUCAGAGGGAGCCCUGACCCUUUCACCCAUACACAUUUGGCUCAGGAUCACCAAAGAGGGGCUGGAAAACUGGAGUCAGAAGAGAUUGUGUCUAGUGAGGAUGAAGAGCUUCCCUGCUUCCAACAAUUAUUGUUUGGUAAAGUAACCAAUACACUGUCUCCAUCUACCGGACGUAACACUGUUGCCAGUGAGGGUCUGUCUAAGGAAACAGAGGAGAACCUAGAAUCAUUGAAGAGUGGCUUAAAUGACUGCAGUGGCCAGGUAACAUCAGCCAAGGCGUCCCAGGAACAUCACCUUAAUGAGGAAGCGAGAUGUUCUAGUAGCUUAUUUUCCUCACAGUGCAGUGCAGUGGAAGACUUGACCACUAAUACAAACACCCAGGAUCCUUUCUUGAUGUUUGAGCAUCCUUCCAAACAAGUGUAUCAGUCUGAAAGCGAGGAAUUUCUGAGUGACAAGGAAUUGGUUUCAGAUGAUGAAGAAAGGGAAACCGGCUUGGAAGAAGAUAGUUGCCAAGAAGAGCAGAGUGUGGAUUCAGACUUAGGUGAAGCAGCAUCCAACCAUGUGAGUGAAACAAGCCUCUCUGAAGACUCUGUGGGGCUGUCUUCUCAGAGUGAUAUCUUAACCACUCAGCAGAGGGAUACCAUGCAAGAUAACCUACUAAAGCUCCAGCAGGAAAUGGCCGAGCUGGAAGCUGUGUUAGAGCGGCACGGGAGCCAGCCUUCCCACAGCUCUGCUUCCCUCACAGCUGAUUCUCGUGGCCCAGAGCACCUGCUAAAUCCAGAGCAAAACACAUCAGAAAGAGCAAUAUUAACUUCAGAGAAAAGUAGAGACUAUUCUAGAAGCCAGAAUCCUGAAAGCCUCUCUGCUGACAAGUUUCCAGUAUCUCUGGAUAGUUCUACCAAUAAAAAUAAAGAACCAGGAAUGGAAGGGUCUUCCCCUUCUAAAUUCCAGUUGUCGGAUAAUAGGUGGUAUGUGCACAGCCACUCAAGGAGUCUUCAGGACAGAAACUGCCCAUCUCAAAAGGUGCCCAUUAAUGUUGCUGACAUGGAGGAGCAACAGCUGGCUAAGUAUGAGGCCCAAGAUUUAAUGGGGUCUUAUUUGCCAAGACAAGAUCAAGAAGGAACCCCUUACCUGAAAUCUGGAAUCAGCCUCUUCUCUCAUGACCUCGAGUCUGAUCCCUCUGAAGACAGAGCCCCAGAGCCAGCUCAUGUUCACUGCAUGCCACCCUCUGCCUCUGCCUCUGCACCGAAAUUAUCCCAAUUUCGAGUAGAAGAAUCUACCAAGAAUCCAGCUGCUGCUCACAUUACUAAUACUACAGGGUGUAACCUGAGGGAAGAAAGUGUGAGCAAAGAGAAGCCAGAAGUGAUAUCUUCAACAGAAAGAAGCAACAAAAGACUUUCUAUGGUGGCAUCAGGCUUGACCCCAAAAGAACUCAUGCUUGUGCAGAAAUUUGCCAGAAAACAUCACAUCACUUUAACUAAUCUAAUUACUGAAGAGACUACUCAUGUCAUUAUGAAAACAGAUCCUGAGUUUGUGUGUGAACGGACACUGAAAUAUUUUCUGGGAAUUGCAGGAGGAAAAUGGGUAGUUAGCUAUUUUUGGGUCACCCAGUCUAUUAAAGAAAGAAAGAUGCUGGAUGAGCAUGAUUUUGAAGUCAGAGGAGAUGUUGUCAAUGGAAGAAACCAUCAAGGCCCAAAGCGAGCAAGAGAAUCCCAAGACAAGAAGAUCUUCAAAGGCCUAGAGAUCUGUUGCUAUGGACCUUUUACCAAUAUGCCCACAGAUCAACUAGAGUGGAUGGUGCAGCUGUGUGGGGCUUCUGUGGUGAAGGAGCCCUCGUCAUUCACCCCAGGCCAGGGUACUCACCCAGUUGUGGUCGUGCAGCCGGAUGCCUGGACAGAGGAUGCUGGCUUCCGUGUGAUCGGGCAGAUGUGUGAAGCACCUGUGGUAACCCGAGAGUGGGUACUGGACAGUGUGGCCCUCUACCAUUGCCAGGAGCUGGACACCUACCUGGUCCCCCAGGUCGCCCAGAGCUGCUGCUGA